CCUCAACUGGAUCACAGGUUCCUCUCAUUGACUGUACACUUCUGCGCACAAGAGACCCUCCUCCACAAUGAUUGCUCUAUACCAAAUUUUUGGCCGCAGGUUCCCACCAGGAAUCGAACUCUCCACCCUGUCGCUGGAAGCAAGCCAAUGUUGAUUGAUCCACCAGUUGAGCUGUGCUCCGGGGGGCAAUAAGAAUCCUAAUAUUGCUCAUAGAAAAUGCUUAUAUAGUUCAUCCUGCAAUGUUCUUUUAAUGUCUCCAAGCCCAAAUCAUUUGUAUGGCACUAGCCAAGUUCAGUCGAUUUCAUAAUUUUACACUGUUGAAUUUAUUUAAAUUCAUAAAUUCACUCUAAUGGAGCAUACUUGAAUGUGUAUCUUGUGAGCACUUUUACAAUGACAACAGGAAAAUAAAAAUAUAAAGCACAAAUAUAACUGAAGUGAGAUUCUGAAACUUCGAAAGUAUAGGCCUCUUCCAUCAUAAAGUUUCCUAUAGAAAUCUAAAACUCUUUGGAUAUGCUUAUUGGUUCCACAAACAAGCUUAGUACUUACUUCCUGUUGUCAAAGCUAUUUAUAGGAAAAGAAAUGCUUAAUGAUGCCUAUGUUGUUAGUCAUUUUCUUUAGUACGUUAUGAUAUUAAAAUUUAGUGUUAAUAAUAAAUAUGCAAUUCGUUGGUUAUAAAGUAGUACAUAACUCAAAGUAAAGACUAUUCUACGUGCAUAAUGAAAAUUUGACAAAAGGGAAGUAUUUAAGAAGUAGACAAUGACGCUAAUCAAAGAAUCUGUACCUGACUGGUUAUAUGAAAUCCUUAUUAUUUCCUUUUGCUUAAAUCCUAAUAAAUGAAAUCACUAAUGACUAAUUAAAUGUUGGUGUUUACUAUUUUAAGAUUUAAGUAUUUUCAUAAUGACCAUGAAAGAAUUAUUAUAUGUACUAAAUAGGAUUAUAAUAACACAACAAUAGUAUUAUUAUAAAUUUCAAAAGCAUUUAAUUUUCAUCAUAUUUUUAAUUUAUUUGGGAUUUAAUUAUUUUCAGUUUUGGAGUUGCAAAUUUAUAAAUACGAGUUUGAUUUCAAAAUUUAAUUUUCUGAGUGAAGGUUUUUAACUUCAACGGAUAUUUUAGAUUAGCUUGUCAAUUAUUAGUAAUGUAAUUUUAUGUUUGGUAUGGUGUCAUGGAAAAUAAAUAAUUGUUUGGUAAAUGGAAAGUGCCAAUAUAGAGGUUGAAGGGAAAAUAAGGAGAUGUGUCUAGAAAAUUUUAUUUGACUUGAUUUAUAAAUCUAGGGUGAAUUGAUUUUUAAUUGAUUAAUAAGUGAUUUAUCAAUUUCAAUUUUACCCAUUGUUCAGAUUUGAACACUUUAAUUAGGGAAAUCAAUCAUUACUAAAUUGAUGUUUUGGACAUGUCGUGACUUUGUACAUUCUUUGGGCCAUAUAAAUUCCAUUUCAUGAUUAUGAAGGAAUGUUUGCUUUGAUCAAUAUUGUCAAAUCAUAUUUGGUAUUUUAUGGUUAUGUUAAUUACGUAAGUAUCAUCGUGUUCAAUUGUGUUGUCCAAGUGAAAGUAUUUAAAAUCUUUGGAAUGUGAGAGUAUUAAAAAUUGCGGGCAUAUGUAUUUUCCAUGAUUGUUCAUAAUUAUCAUGAAAUUGACAUUUUGAGAUAUUUGUAAAUUUGCAGGUGAAUACAAGAGCUGAGCGGAUACGUACGUUCAAACGUGUUACUAGAAAUUAAUUCUAAAUUUCUUAUGUGUUGAUCUCGCGAAUUUGACCCUCCACGUGGCCAACCGAUAACUGUUUCAGGUAAUCCUCCCUGCGUACAGUCAACACACGGUCAAAUGCACGCGGCCUGAAUCAGCGGGGGUGGCGGUGGCAGCAUACACUUCGAUAGUCAAGUUAACUUCUAGUGAUCGGAACAGUGCCAAUGUUGUGCAAAAAAGGUGGGGAGGGGAAUAUAUAUUUACUUGUUAUGGAGAGCUAAGUUGUAAGAAUUUCAUUCUCCUUCGCCUCUUGUCAAACCUUGGGUAUUUAUAGUUGAGGAGAACCGUUAGAUGUGGGACACGUGUAUGCAUCUGACGGUGUGAGGCGUCAAUCAGCCGCGUCUAUAGAGUGGGAGGGUAAUAACUUCUCUCGAGUUAAGUUGGCAUAAAGUUGAUACGUCAUAUCAACUAGGCCCAUGGAGACAUCAAAUCAAUUAAACCUUGGGGGCAGAAAGGAUCUUGACGCAGAUCUCUUUUUGAAAUUGGCGGCAGAUCCUCUGACAGAGAUCCUCGAAGUGCAUUGCACUUCGGCGUCAAAGGUAAGAACACUUCGGUUGAUUCGAUAGAAUUGUUUAUGCUCGCAACGCGUUAGCAAUUCGCCAACAUUAGUGGUGGAGUCACUUUGGAACCACUUCGGAUGGGUGUUGGACACCUUGUAUGACGCAGUGGCAAACUCUCCGAAGUGAUUUAGAUAGGGGCGUAACAGUGGUCUACCCAAGUUCAGGCAUGAAUAUUUAUAUCAUGGAUAGACUUGUUUUCCCGAUCAGGUAUGUCUGUCUCGGGAUAGGAACCGCGGUUUGUGAUAGCGUGUGGGAUGGUUUUCUGUGUUCACCGAAGAGAUGAAGGUCGGGACAUAUCUUCGACAGAUGCGCUAAAGUUUCAUUAUUGCCUAAGGAAAGAGCUUAUCCGUAAUCGAUGUGCUGACAUACAGGACGGUGUGUUGGGAGACAACUAAAGCUUUGUAAAGCUUAAGAGGGGAUGCAGCCACCUAGGCGAUGACCCACGGGAGACUUCAUGUCAGGUGCGUCUAAGUUUUGUAAAGUUGAGUGAGGGGUUCAUCUGCCACUGGUGCGCUAACCCACAGGGAACGACGCAUUAGGAGAUGGCUAAAGCUUUGUAAAACUUAAGAGGGGAUGCAGCUACCGAGGCAAUGACCCACAAGGGACUUCGCGUUAGGUGCGUCUAAGCUUUGUAAAGCUGUGUGGAGCUCAUCUGUUACCGGUGCGCUGACCCACAGGGGACGACACGUUGGGAGAUGGCUAGAGCUUUGUAAAGCUUAAGAGGGGAUGCAGCUACCGAGGAGAUGACCCACAUGGGACUUCCCGUCAGGUGUGUCUAAAUUUUGUAAAGUUGAGUGAGGGGCUCAUCUGCCCGAUCUGAGGCGAACAUUUCUGACGUUAAAUGAUUUGACAGCUGUCGUUUAUUUCCAAGGCGACGGACUAUUGGGUCGGCUAAAAGAGGUCCAUCCCACUUUGGACAUAUCCUCUUUAGAGGCAGAGUUCAGUGGACCUACUGGAGGCCGGUCUGGUAGGUUUGCCGAGGAGGCUCUAGAGGUCUCGGAGAGGGGCGAAGCGGAGGCUGGCGCGGAAGAUGCCCCAGUAGAAUAGGGUUAUUCUUGUAAUGGCUUUGGUUUCUUUUGUAAUUCAAUUUUAAAUGAAUGAAAUGAAAAAAUUUUGUCUAAGUAUUGUUGCUUCUGUCUUUUCAUUGUGUUGAGCUGUUUAUACUUGAGUAUAUGAAUCACAAGCACUUAAGCAAAUAAUAAGCACCACUUACUGAUAACCAAUCGGUAAAAGGAGAUCGAAGCAAUAACAUAUUAAGUAACCGAGGCAACAACUCAUUAACUGAUUAGACAAAGAACUGAAGUAUCAUUACUUAGAGGUUACAUCAUCCAUCACUAAGGCAAUUUCAGCACUUAGUAAGAUAGGGAAGUUACAAAUGAGAUCGGAUCGUGUCAAACACAUAUUAGACAGCAUCGAGAUCGGAUCGGAACCUACGUUCAUCAUUGAUAGUACUUUCUCAAGUGUUCGAUGUUCCAUUGACGAGGCAGUACUCUUCCCGUCAUAUCUUCAAUUUCAAAAGUACCAUGUCGGGACUCCUUGCAGAUGCGAUAAGGACCCUCCCAAUUUGGUUCAAAGACUCAGACCCCAAUGACGAUUGGAAGACCCUUCUAAGGACGAGGUCCCCUGACCGAAGAGUUCGAUUUCUGACUUUGGAGUUGUAAUAGCGGGUCAUCUUCCUCUGAUAUUUGGCCAGUUUCACUUGGGAGGUGUCCCUCCUUUCUUCAAGGAGGUGGAGUUCGCUCAUUCGAGUUUCGUCGUUACCGAUCUCAUUGAAGUGUAUCCGACGAUGCGAUGAAACUCCUACCUCGAUAGGGCUAAUCUGUUGACCUCGCGAAUUGGACCCUCCACGUGGCCAACCGAUAGCUGUUCUACGUAAUCCUCCCUGUGCACAGUCAACGCACGGUCAGAUGCAUGCGGCCUGAACCAGCGGGGGUGGUGGCGGCCGCAUACACUCCGACGAUAAAGUUAGCUUUUGGUGAUCGGAACAGUGCCAAGGUUGUGCAAAAAGGGUGAGGAGGAGAAUAUAUAUUUACUUGUUAUGGAAAGCUAAAUUGUAAGAGUUUCAUUCCCCUUCGCUUCUUGUCAAACCUUGAGUAUUUAUAAUUGAGGAGAAUUAUUAGAUGUGGGACACAUGUAUGCAUCUGACGAUGUGAGGCAUUUGCUCAUAGGCGUCAAUCAGCCGCGUCUAUAGAGUGGACGGAUAAUAACUUCUUUUGAGUUGAUACGUCAUAUCAACUAGGCCCAUGGAGACAUCAAAUCAAUUAAACCUUGGGGCAGAUAGGGAUGUCAAUUGGGCCGAGCCGGCUCUGCUCGGCUCGUGGGCUAGUCCGAGCUCGAGCCGAGCGGAGGGUCCCGUCCAACGAGCCGAGCCGGCUCGUCCAAAAAUGUGGAAAAAAUAAAAUUUUAUCAAUAAAGUUUGAAAAAUUUGCAAAAAAAAAAAAAUUUAUGAGCCCACGAGCUGGUGGCUCGUGGGCUCGGCUCGGCCCACGAGCUCGUGGCUCGUGAGUACACGAGCUCGUGGGCCGAGUCGAGCUCGCCCACGAGCAACGAGCCGAGCCCGAGCUCGGCUCGUGAAAAAUGAGCCACGAGCCCGAGCCUCGGCUCGGCCCACUGCCAUCCCUAGGGGCAGAAAGGAUCUUUACGCAGAUCUAUUUUUGAAAUUGGCGACUGAUCCUCUGACAGAGGCAAGAAUGCUUCGACGUACAUUAUUCUCGGAGUACAUUGUGCUUCGACGUCAGAGGCAAGAAUGCUUCGGUUGGUUCAGUAGAGUUGUUUGUGCCUCACAACGCGUUAACAGCUCGCCAACAUUAGUGGUGGAGUCAUUUUGGAACUACUUCGGAUGGGUGUUGGACACCUCUUAUGACGCAGUGGUAGACUCUCCGAAGUGGUUUAAAUAGGGGCGUAACAAUAUGUCUAUCUUAUUAUAAUUAAAUACGUGACAUUAAUGUUUUAAAAAGGAUCUUAGGUGACUUUGCAAAUGUGCAAGCGGGGAAUAAGAGCUAUGCAAAUUGAUGUUACCAAAUUAUUGUCUAAGAGGGACAUGAAAUAAAUUAUAAUCUAUAAUGGUCAUAAUAAAUUAUCGACGGAGAUGAGCUUAAGCCAAUAAGGAAGUCACCUCCAAGAGUAACCCAACCUUUGUGAUUGGAGAUCCCAUGAAAAAGAUUCAAUGUGGCAGAAACAAUUCGUACUGCAUGACUCAUAAUAGCACUAUAUUAUUUGUGUUCAUUCCUAUGGUGAUAGUGCUAAUAAUUAUGUGAUAUUAUGAAGGGUUUAAUCUUGAAUGAGUACAGAUGCAAGAAUUCCCAUGAGGUGUGGGUCACACUUAUCUUUGAAAGACUCACCUAUAUAAUAGUUGCUAUGAGGCCACGGCUAUGGGAUUCAGUUAUUCUUUAGAUACUCUUAUUAGAAUCAAGAUUUGAGCGCAUGGCCAUUAAAAGUAUUAUCCGCUUUGAACUGAACCUAAAUCGAUAAUAUGUGUAGAACAAUUGAAGUUUAGUCAAAAGGCCCUAAUUCAAGGCUUGGUCCAUUAUAACUCUCUCAAAUAGAAAUUGUUAUCACUAAGGUUUAAGUCCAAAGGAUACCUACAGCUAUUAUACAGUAUAACGUUGCCACUAUAUAUAUAUAUAUAUAUAUAUAUAUAUAUAUAUAUAUAUUGAAAGUUUAAAAUAUGUGGGGGAUUGUUAUAACAUAAAAUUAAAGUUUUAACCUUUCAAUAUUUAACCCAUUCAAUUUUUUUUAAUAAUCAAUUUUAACACAAUUAAAACAUUAUAAUUCAUAUUAUAACUUCUAUUUUAGUGGUUUAAUUGUGGGGGUUGAUUUUCACCUACAAAAGGUGAUUAUGUCUCAUUGAAAAAGAGAACUAGAAUACAAUAACUACAAUAACUUUGAAGGAAAACAUUAUAUAUAAUUCAUACUAUAUUCUUAUACUUUGGGCAACUCGAUAAAAAUUCGUUCACUUAUCUCCCUAUAGUCGUACCCAUAAAAAGAGAAUCGGCUGUGAGCCACAUGAGUUUUAUCUUGGAGCAAUGUAGCGCCGAAAGAACUUCGUGGGCGACAACACAACUUUAGGAUACCGUCUUUGACUUGAUUCCCAAGACUUGCUUUCUAAAUCUCUUCUCUCUUUUAUAUUUAUAUUAUUAUAGAUUAUAUUUUGUUAUGUUAUAUAUAUUGAUUAUUUUAAUUGAUAAAAAAAAUCUACACCCAAAUCACCUAUUUUUUCCAACACAAUUUUCUUUGUUGUCAAAGAUAAUGAAAUUAUGUUUAUUGUUCGCUGGUUUUUAUCAAAACUAAUAGCUCUGAAGUGCAAUGAAUUUCUUCUAACGGUUCCCAAAAAUUUAAUUUUAUCUAGAAGUUAUUAUUGUUAUUUAUCCUAUCCUUAAAAAGAUUUUUGAAAAUUACUCUAAAGAUCGAGUGAUCAUGAACCUAACGUUAUUUAACUCAUCAAACUAGAUGUUAGUUGACAGAAUCAUUAUUUUUCAACCCAAAGUUAAGCUAGCUCUCGUAUAACAAGAAUAAAAGAGUUAUAUUUCUCUUACGUUGUUUUAAUUAUUAUUAUUUUUUGCAACUUAUAAAUUUAUGUUCUCUCAAAUUAAAAUGUCUGACCACGGUCACUGCUUUAAAUUCUCAAUCUAAGUAUGAAUUGAUGUGACGUGAACAUGUAAAAGCUCCCUUUAUAUGUCCAAGAUUUCUUGUGUAAAUAGUUUUGGGAGUUUUUAAGCCUAAUCACGACUUCAGAGCGGCAAAAUUCCUUUAGAAGUCAGAAAAGUUGAACAUAUUCUGUCAAUUGUGGUAUGCACUUUGUUCUAAUAAGGUGAGAUAUUCUAUUAAUUGUGGUAUGCACCUUAUCUUGAUUCCUAUCUUGAAUGGUGACACUAGCACACUUAUGAAUAUGUAUUGGACGUGAUCAUUAUGCAUAGAUUAAUUUCUUUAGCACGAAUAUACUCAGAAACUAAGCUACGCACGAUUGUCUUGUCACUCUUGUGGAUCGCUGGAAUCUUUUAUGGAGUAGUGAUUGUUAUUCGUGAACCCAAAGAUGUUUGAUGUGUCAAUAAGUGAGACUUAUUUGUAAUAUUAAAUGCCACAAAACAUUGUGAGUGGAAAAAAAAAUAGAGGUAAUAACCAUGUAUUCUAAUUUGAAAUCUGUCACCCCAUUCGAUAGAUUAAUGAGUCAACUUAAGUUUUUAUUUUAAGAGCAAUUUAUCAUUCGGACUCAAUAUAUGACGACAACUACAUCGUUUUAUGUGGUUUGAUCACAAAGAAACUAUUAAAAGAUUGAGCUUAAUUGAGAAAUAAUUAUAAUACGUCAUCGUAGGCGAGAUAUAAUUAUUUGAUAUUCGAGGAGAUAAGACAUAAAGUUGACAAGUUAAAGAGGAUGUAAUUCUAUGUAUUUGAAACAUUAUUAUUUUUCGUUAUUUUAAAUAAUUUAAGAGUUCAAUUUUUCACAUUGAGUGGAAUAAGCAAAAACUAAUAAUUAUAGUGUAGGUCUUGGGUCGACUUGAUUGUAGUUAUGUUACUAUAACUUAAAUUAGGGUAAUUAGCAAAAAAGUCUCUAUCGUUUGCAUGCGUUGCUAAAAUAGUCUUUGUCAUUUCGAAAUUGACAUUUGCACCCUGAUUUCAAACAUUUCUUGUGGAAUUGACCAUUUUCGUCACGUUCUGUUAAUUCGACCAGGAAAAAAUGCGUGGAAAUCACUCACGUUAUUUGAAAAUGACAAAUUAGUCAAAUAAAUAUAUAUUUUUUGGAGAAAAGAUUCUUGUAUAUACUAGACUAGAUUGUAGAAAGUUUUACCGUGGCCAUUCAGCAACAAUAUCCCAAAUUGAAUAUGUUAGACCAAACCUCACUUUUCCAAAAUGCUCUAAAAGAAAGAAACCGCCGCUUGAACGUAUUCCACUACCACCUUUCUACUACCAUUCCAACACCGGCAACUUCAAUGUCAACGCCGAUAAGUUUUAUUUUCAAUUUUUGAAAUGGGUGUGGCUUUUUAUAGAUUGAUUUUACUCUGAACAGUCGACCCUUGUUGAAUUGAUCAACCAAUUUCUUGAGGCACGUAUUGAAAAGGACAAUGGCAUUAUGGCAUUAUUAAUGUCUUCGUUGCAUCUGCUACCAUUGCCAUUAUGUCGAGUUUGAGCGAUAAAUCCCAUUUUUCCAAACAUAAACAAAAUUCUUAGCAAAACUUUGUUGGAGACACCAAAAGACAAUGAUACCAAAAUCCACAAUUUAGGUUGUCAAAUGGGUUGUGCCUAAUUUUAUUUUAUUUUUUAAUAUUUUAAUCAGUGUGAUUUUGUUAUAAAGAAUGCUAGGUUUCAUCAUUGAACAUAUUGAAUUUAAUAAAGUUAUCUAUCUUUGAGAGUUCUUUAUAUUUUUAACGGAUUUUGAUAUUUGAUUUGCAUUUGUUAUUGAAAUUGAAUAAAUAUUUAUUUACCAUUAGAAUGGUAAGUUCUAUAUGUUUAUUUACCAUUUUAGUUAAGUCUAGCAUACUAAUAUCGUCUUUAUUGUUUGUGUUGGAAUUUUCCAGGGUGAUGUUUCAGAUCAACCUCCAAAUGAGCAAGCUGACAUUGAAGGUUGUGGGAGGCUUGAACUUUUAAAUUACAUCAAACUAAAAAGGGUUACAUUCACCAAAAAUUUUUAGAGAGGAAAAAAAAUAUGUAACUUGACUAAUCUAAUCUUUUUAAAUAAUGUGAAUGAAUUCCAUGCAUUUAUUUCACGGUGGAAUUAACGGAGCGUGAUGGAACACAAUAAAAGUUUGAGAUAAUUGUGUAAAUGCCAAAUUUGAAAUGAAAUGGAUUAUUUUAGCACUGCAUGCAAACGAUAGGGACGUUUCUUUCUAAUUUCCGAUAAGAUCUUUUGUGUACUUAAUCGAAAAUAUGAUGAAAGCUCAGAGACUGCAGGGGCAAUAAAAGCCUAAAGGAAUCCUAAAUCUCACUGGUCAAAGAGAAAAAGUUCCUAUGCCUAGGAUUGCUUGGCCUCCCACUCCAUAAAGAAUUUAUUCAGUCUUCUCUAUUGAGAUCCUUGUCAGUCCUUUGGAAUUCAAAUUGAUUUUUCUUUGAUGCCCACCCAUUAUUCGCACAAUCUAUACUUUGUAAAAUGUCGUAGAAGACUUAGGGGUUUGAAACUCGAUAAUUCAAGAAGAUUUUGUAGACAUUGUUUGGUCCGUAAUUUUAAAUUUAGAAUUAGAUCAUGCUUCUAGAGUAAAUUUCGCGUAUACCCAAUGUUAUUAAAUCGAAAGAUGUAAAUGAUUUUUUUCUGUAAUUAGUGUUUUCCCCUAAUUUAUUUCCAAUAAUUGCACGGGAGGCAAGGUGGAGAUUAAAAGAAAAAAUUUCUAGUACAUCCAAAGUAUGUCAAUGUCACUGAGCAAAUAACAUAUAUAUUAUUUAUCAUGUUUGAAUUUCAAUAAAAUAGUAAGUUUUAAUUAUUUAGUAUGCGUUUAAUUGAAACAGUGAAAUGUGGUAUUGAGUACUUAGAGGGUUAAAACAAAUUAUAUUUCCCACUUUGAUAGCCAAAAUUUUCCAGACAAUUAGUUUUCUACAUUUCCCUCACACGUUCACAAUUUUCAGGUUUUUGGAGAAUUCAUUUUCCAUGAGGUAGGUGGUUUUAUGUUUUCCAGCUUCUUUUUUUACUUUUUUUUUUAAUUUUAUUUAGGGGGCAAUGAGAACAAAUUUUAGGAAUAAUUGUAAACUAGGAUAAUCUCUUAAAUUGAUAAUUCUCAUAUAAAACAAAAUCAAACGAACAUCAAAAUAUAGAUGAUUUUUGAAUCUUUAUAUAUAUAUAAUUUUUUUUUUUUUGUAAUGGAAACAAAUUCUAAAAACAAUUGUAGAAGUGGAUAUCCCUUAAAUUGACAGUGUUGACCUCUAAAAAUGGCUCUUCCACGUGGCCAACUUGUAGCUACUCCACGUAUUCCUCCCUACGAAAUGAACAAACUGUCAGGCGCACACGGCCGGAACCAACGGGGGUGGCGGCCGUAUACACUCCGACGGUCAAGUCAGGUUUGGGUGGUCGGAACAGUGUCCAGGGACUACACAAAUCAAUCAGUCAAUAAAGGGAGAGGAGAAUAUAUAAACUUGUUAUGGAGUGCUAUCUAUUGAGAGUUUCAUUACCUUUGCCUCUGGCCAAUCUUUGGGUAUUUAUAGGUGGUAUGAACCGUGGGAUGUGGAACACGUGUAUACAUCUGACGGUAUGAAGCGUCUGCUCAUAGGCGUCAAUCAGCCGCGCUUGUAGAGUGGGCGGACAGUUUGUUUCCCCCGAGUUGAAUUGACAUAAAGUUGAUAAGUCACAUCAAAUAGCUUUAUGGGGGACGUCAAAUCAAUUUAAACCUUAUAUGCAGAACAAAUCUUAAAUUGGCAGCGAAUCUUCUAACGGGGGUUCAAGCCACUUGAACCCGACCUCGGAGACGGGACACUUCGGCAGAUCAGUGACAGGAAUCGGUGUUUCACUUUGGAGAGGCUUCGGGAGGUCGGAGUGGUCUGAGCGAGAUGACACUUCGGUACGUCGGUAUCGAAGCUCGUAAAAUGAGGCGAGAUGACACUUUGGUACGUCGGUACCGAGGCUCGUAAAAUGAGGCGUAACAGACAACUUUUAUGAAAAAUAAAGCCAAACAAACACCAAAAGACACUUUUAUUUCAAUAUUUUUCAGGUGAAAAAUUAUACAAAUCAAACACUAUUAAUUGACAAUUCCUAGUGAAACAAUUUUUAGACAAUUCAAUUAUCUGAAAUUUGUUAUCUUUCCACUCACAUUCCAUCUUUGCAAUUAAAUGGAUCUCAGUGAGCGUUUUGUGGAAGAGUGAGGAAGCACAAUUGCACGCUCCAUUAAUUUUAUAUCAGUCCAAUUUUUAAAAGCAACUUAACAUAAUAUUAUAUAAGCUAUUAGCAUAUUUUAUAAAUUAUGGGAUGACAAUCUGAGUUGUAAAAGUGCUCAAAGUCAAGUCGCGUUCUGAUUAGAUAAUUGUUUAAGUUAGCCUUCCACAUUUUGAAAGCGAAGAAAGAUAGAUAGUAGAUACAAUAUUGAUAACUCAAACUUUUGUCCCAUUCGGAAAUUUUAAUUAAAUUUUCAUAAUAUGUACUUAUUUGGCCGCGCUUAAAAGUUAAAUAUAUAUAUAUAUAUAUUAUAUCAGGGUAACUUAAUUUUGUCAAACAUGUUUUUAAAGUUAAUAUUUUUAUUACAAUUUGCUUUUCUUCGUAAAAAUAUAGUCUUGAAAAUUAUUCCCCAUUCCAUUUACGGGAAAAAAAUUAGAACAUUAAAAUUAAUCAUUUGCCAAACAGUCCCUUCGUAAUGCCAGCUGUCAAGUAGAGCCAGAUUAGCAUGGACCUGUCAUUAGCGGCAGAUCCAAACCUUUUUACGCCAGGCUAAAAUCUGCUACAUUCAAUCCAUCUACACUCGUUUUUACGACUUGUACAUUUAUUCCAAAUAAGUCUGUUCAUCAGAAUUUGUUCUUAAAAGUAUNCCGUUUUUGUUGUUGUCAUCCCACUUCGAUUUCCAUGUUGAAUCAGAAUUUGAAGUACCCAACGGUUGCCUAGACGUUCACUUCCUCUUCAAUUGCCUCUCGACCUUCAUUGCCACAUGUAACAUAUCCUCGAUUUUCACAUAGUGUUGCAACUCUACAACGUUUGUAAUAUCCCGAUUUAACCCAUUCAAGAUCCAUGCCAUGGUAGCUUCCCGAUCUUCCUCCACAUUAGCCUGAAUCAUAAGAAUUUCCAUCUCCUUGUGAUAAUCAUCUAUGCUUUUUGACCCUUGAUACAAACCUUGCAAUUUUUUAUGAAUUUCCCUAUAAUAGUGACUCGAAAUAAACCUCCCCCUCAUCAACAUCUUCAACUCAUCCCAAGUGCUAAUUGGCAUUUCCCGACACCUACACCGUAAUGUAAGUACUUGAUCCCACCAAGAUAUCGCGUAAUCCACAAAUUCAAGUACCGCCAAUUUUACCUUUUUCUCCUCCGAAUAAUUAUAGCACACAAAAAUCAUCUCAACCUUCUUUCCCCACUCUAAAUAUGCUUUCGUAUCGCUUCGCCCCUUAAAUUGUAGAAUAGUCAUUUUAAUACUCCCCAAAUUUCCAUCAACUUCAUCCCCCAAGUUAUUUUUACCCCGUCUGUCCAUCCUAUCGCCCCUAUGCCUCGCUAGACCCGUAUCAAUGUUAUUUUCAUCAAAAUCAUCCUCAUCACUACGAUAUUCAUCCCGCCUUCCUCUCCUAGAUUUACGCCUACUCAGCCCCCUAGCAUUAGACAUCUCUACUCGUCCCCAGCUAAGAUUAGCGAUUGUGGUACCUAUUUGCGCCACCCAUUCCCCUUGCCUAUCCACCUUCUCCCUAACACCACCAAGUACCAGUUCAAACCUGCGUAUCAUGUCCUCCGAUGCAUUGUUGUCAUUACCGUUUCGGCUUGAGUUAGAACCUUCUCUUUCCGACAUCAUGUCACACAAAUUUAUAUGCCUCACAAAUAUAUCACUCGAAAACACUCAAUAUGGUUUUUUCCCUCUAUUAAACUCACCACUCGGCCUCUUACCACUCAAAGUCUCCCUCCAAGCACUUCAAAGAAUCAAGUGAAUUAAAUCAAGUGUUUUACCAGAAAUUCAACAAACCGAAUAAUAACCAAGAACUUGAGACUCAAGGAAUUGAAUUAGGUGGAAUAGAUGAUUGUUUUGACAAGAAUAUGUGAAUAGACUCACUAGUAAAGUGAAAAAAUAGCACAAUGGAAUAGCCCAAAUCACACAAUUCGAGAGUUUUUGUUUUGUGUUGGUAGUAAAAACAAGAAAUAAUAAUAUCAAAUUUUUUUUGUGUACUGUACGGAUGAACAUUAACUGUACGAUGAACAGUACUUUUUUUUGGACCUUUUGUGAAGAAAUACGAUUAAGCUUCCAACAACUCAAUGAAUUGAAAUUGACGAUAAUUGAACGACACAAGAAUGACUCAAACGACGAAGAACACAAGAAUGACGAAGAAGAAAUAUAAAGACUUAACGACACGAGGAACGACAGUCGAAAUUGGGAAGAAUGAAGAAAACAAGAAAAUACUUAACAAGUAACGAAAAGAUAUAACCUUCAAUUAAUUUGGAGCCUGGCUCUGAUACCAACUGAUGUGAACACCGUAGCAACGUUGACUACGAAACCCACAACGAGAUUGAAGAACCCAAGAAAGCGAAAUUAAUCCAAGAAUCUACAAUUAAUUCAAAAGAAAGUCGAAAAAACCCAACAAGAACGACGCUUGAAAGACCCCUUGAUCACGCAAUAAGAAUUAAAUUCAAUUGUUUGAACGCCAUAAGUUAACACUUGAUAAGUUAGAAAUUGUUCAAUGAAGAACGAUGAAGAGAAGACAAUACGCCUCACUUUAAUUCAAUAUCAAAUAUGUCAAAAGUUGUUACAAUUGAAUGAAAACUUCUAUUUAUACUAAAUCUAAAAACUAGGUAAAAAUCGUGCAAAAAUCGAGCAUAAUUCUCAAAGUACGGAAAAGAAUAAAAAAACUAACAAAAUAUGAAAAAAUACCAAAAAUAGGAAAUUCGUCCAAAAAUUGGCCUAUGCGACCGCACCGUGCAAUUCCAUGAGGUCACAUGAUUCAAACAAGAUGCCUCCUUUGAGCUUCGGUAGACCACCGUACAAUCGCGGGCGUGUAUGCUUGUGCGACCGCACAGGCUUAAAAUUCCCCUCCAGUUUCGGCCUUCGAUAUUAAAUUGAUCCAAGUUGAUUCGGUCUUCAACCUGAAUAUGAAAGUUGCUCCAUUUUGAGUCCCGAACAUGGUGUUUUCAAUCGUUGCCUUGACGAGCAAUCCCAUCGCCUCGUUGAAUCGUCUCAUCUUCGAUCGCGUCAUCGGUCCACCAUCGACUAUCAACGGGUCUCGUCUCGCACUUGCCUUUGUCGGGCUCGACUCCUGGGUUAUAUCAAGUGGCGAGACAGUGGUCACAAGUGUUGAUGGUGGUCACAAAUUCUUUAGUUGAUCAUUACCAUUAAAUUGGUUAAUUCAUGACCGAUAAACAAUAUGUGGCCAAUGAAAAAGAUAAAUUGUGACUAAAAAAUUAUGUGUGACAUAAAAAAAAUUUACUUUAUGAUCAAUAAUUUGAUAAUUUAUGACUGUAUAAUACGUUGUGAUUAUAAUAUUUGUAAUUUAUGAGUAAUAAAUAAAUUAUGACAUGUACAAUUUUGAAUUGUGACCGUAAAAUAGUUUGUGAAAUAAAAAAAUUUUGAUUUAUGACUAAAAAAUAAUAUGUAACUAUCUAAAUCAAUAAUUUGUGAUCAAAUUGUAUGAUUCUGUAACUUUAAUAUAUUUAAUUAAUAAAAUAUAUAAUUAAUUAAUUAAUUCAUAAAUAAAUAAAUUUUAAUAAAUAUCUAAUUUUUGAAAUUUGAAACUUUUAUUUUUAGUUUUGAAAUAGGUGAUACUUAACAUCUUAAUUAUCAAUUUUUCCCUCUUUAUAAUAAUAUAAUAUAUUUUAUAUAUUAUCGAUUAAUUUAUUAUACAUAAUUUUUUUUUUUCAAACUUGUAUUAUACUUCAUGACUUUUAAUGAAGAAUGUCAAACAUAUCAAAUUGUAUAUAAAAAUAAUAUAUAUUAUAAUAAAUUUUAUAUUGAGAUUGAGAAUUUCCUCCUUCCAAUACUAAUUAAAAAAAAAAAUACGUGUAAAAUAUUUCGAAUCUGAUUGUUGGAUCGAUAUUCGAUAACAUAGCAAAUCAGAUAUGAAUUUAACAAUCAAAUACCCUUUGGAUUAUCAGAUCUGAUCCAUGAAUUAUUCUUAUCAAAUUGGAUCGAAUAUGGAUGAAUCCGUCCAUAUUCGAUCCAUUCACAGCCCUAUCAGUGAAGCACUAGUUUAAGUAAUUAUACUGUUUAAAUUCAAUAAAAUGGGUCACAUGACUUUACAUUUAAAUGAAUAUAUUAUUUAAUGUUAUGUAAUUAUUACCUAAACUGGUAUUCAAUGCAAGUGAUGAUGAAUAACAUUACUCUUUUCAUUAUCUUGUUAUUCGAGCUAUUCUCCAAAAUUCGAAGUUGAAAAUGCUUCUUCGCAUUAGUGGAGCGAGGAGUGGGCCUGGUCGAGUGACCUCCAAUUUCAUCCACCCCACCCUUUUUUUUAGUAAUAACAAACUAAAUACUGGAGUUUCAUUUCUCUCCCCCAAUGCUUUGAUUUUUUAUCACCGAAUUCUAAACUUACUUGCAUCGAGUUUUAAACGAAACCCAUUUAAUCAAAAAGCUAUAUUGUUCUAGAUACAAGGUUUUCUUGAAUUUCCUUGCUAGCAAAAUCAGUGAUAACUUUGUUCUUGAUUCAUCGGGAAACUAUACCUCCACAAUCACCAGAAAGCUUGCAAAGGAUUAAAUACACGUGCACGAGGCUAAUAUUUAGAAUUUGAAGUUAACUUUUAUCAUCAUCGAUAAGUUAAGUGUUAUACUAACUCACAUAUUUAUUAAACAAAUAUGGCAUAUUUGUAUUGAGAAGUUAAGUUUGAUUGUUAUCAUUCAACUGGCCUGCAAUUUGUUAUAACAUAAAAUUAAAGUUUUAACCUUUCAAUAUUUAACCCAUUUAAUUUUUUUUAAUAAUCAGUUUUAACACAAUUAAAAUAUCAUAAUUCAUAUUAUAAUUUCUAUUUUAAUGAUUUAAUUGUGGGAGUUGAUUUUCACCUAUAAAAGGUGGUUAUAUCUCAUUGAGAAAGAGAAUUGGAAUACAAUAACUUGGAAGGAAAACAUUCUAUACAAUUCAUACUAUAUUCUUAUACUUUUAGCAACUCGAUAAAAAUCAUUCAUUUAUUUCCCUAUGAUCGUGUCUAUAGAAGAAGAAUCGAUUGUGAGCCAUGUGAGUUUUAUUUUGGAGUCGUGUAGCGUCGAAAGAACCUACACAAAGGGGGAGGCAACACAACUUUAGAACAGCGUCUUCGACGUAACCUUCAAAACUUACUUUCUAAAUCUAUUCUCUCUUUUAUGUUUAUAUUAAUAUUGAUUUAUAUUUGUUAUGUUAUAUAAAUUGAUUAUAUUAAUUGAUAAAAAAAUGUACACACAAAUCACCCAUUUUUCCUAACAGUCUAAAAUCGUGUUGGAUGAUUUGCUUGUAGAUUACAUGUGGUGUGGUCACAAAUUUAAAAAGCGUUUUCUUGAUUUGAUGUAUGUGACUGAAUUAUAUAUAUUUGCUAAAUGAUUAGACUUAUUAUUUGAAUAAUAAUGAAUAUUACAUGCUCUCCAAACGCUUAUGAGUAACAUUCAUGUGAACUAGCUAGCUUAUCAAACAAAACCUCUCGUUCUAUUUCAUUUGCACAUAUGCUUGUAUGCUCCUUCCGCCCUGUAAUAAAGCACAAAGAGCAUGAAAUAUGGCUUUGAUUAAUAAUUAGAAUAAAAUUGCACUUCAGCGCAACCUAUAUUAUGUAGAAUUUGAAGUCCUUGUUUUGAUCUCGAAGUGAACAUAUUCACGCUUGGAGCCAAAAUAAUAUUAACGAGAUAGGUCCUCAUCAAAUGGUAUUAUUCUGAAGUUUCUCUCACAUAAUUUAAAGGACAAAUUUUAUGUCAAAAUUGCUCUUAUAACUUGAUGCUCAGGUGUUAGGAAUAAAAUAAUUUGGUAUAAGGAAAUAGUUACCAAUAUUUAACAAAACAACAACCAUAACAACAACAAUAACUGAACAUUGAAAACAUAUGAAAAAAUGAAAAUCAAAUAUCUUGCCUGAAACUAAUUAUAAAGAGCAGAAUAGCACACGAGUGUUUUAUAGUAGCUCGAGAGAUCUCAUGCCCAUGACCUUGAAUCUUCUUCUUCUUCCUUUUUUUUUUUUUUUUUCCUACAAUCUUUACUUUAGACAUCUAAAAUUCUAUGUCCUUGAUUUCUCUGUGUUUUUUUUAAUGUUCUAUAGUUGUAAGGACAUAGAAUUUAUCCUACAGAUUUAAAAAAUAAAAAGACAGUGUGAAACGAAGAAAUGUUCUUGCCUACGUAUAUAAAAAUACGUGCUAUUCCUCCUCCUAUUUGAUAGAAUUUAUAAUGAAAGUAACCCAAGUUUCAAGUCUCAGCAACUGAAUCAAUAAGAAUCCUAAUAUAUAUAUAUAUAUAUAUAUAUAUAUAUAUAUAUAUAUUUUUUUUUUUUUUUUUUUUUUUUUUUUUGAUAUCCAAGUAUCACAGCGUAUACCAGACUAAAUCCUGGACCUCCAAAAUCCAUGCCCCUAGAACUUUGGAGAGGGUAAAUCGUUGGUUAUACCUCAACUGGAUCACAGGUUCCUCUCAUUGACUGUACACUUCUGCGCACAAGAGACCCUCCUCCACAAUGAUUGCUCCAUACCAAAUUUUUGGCCGCAGGUUCCCACCAGGAAUCGAACUCUCCACCCUGUCGCUGGAAGCAAGCCAAUGUUGAUUGAUC
This 17583-nucleotide long non-coding RNA is filed under the name Olea europaea subsp. europaea. Lineage: Eukaryota; Viridiplantae; Streptophyta; Magnoliopsida; Lamiales; Oleaceae. The record is from RNAcentral.